This 318-nucleotide ribosomal RNA is filed under the name Foraminifera environmental sample. RNAcentral describes it as "partial small subunit ribosomal RNA". The record is from RNAcentral. Lineage: Eukaryota; Foraminifera.
CGGUCACGUUCGUUGCUUUCAGAGCCUAAAUGCAUGUGCAAAGCAGCAAAGACAACGCGCCCCCGGAAGGGUGGGGUCAAAGAGCUCGCGACAUACGUUAAGAAUAGGCCCUUAAUGAAACGCAAUUAAGCAGACAGAUCACUCCACGAACUAAGAACGGCCAUGCACCACCUAUCACAUAAUCAUGAAAGGACUAGCAUCUUUCAUGAGAUAAGAAACACCCGAAGGUAAAACUUAUCAAAACUGCCUGUCAGUCCUCAGUGUGUCCGGACCCGGUAAGAUUUCCCGCGUUGGGUCAAAUUAAGCCACAUGCUCCAC